GUGAGCAUAGUUUAAUAAAACACUAGA
Molecule: transfer RNA, 27 nt
Filed under: Alytes obstetricans (midwife toad)
Lineage: Eukaryota; Metazoa; Chordata; Amphibia; Anura; Alytidae
Description: partial tRNA-His
Source: RNAcentral